This 466-nucleotide ribosomal RNA is filed under the name uncultured bacterium. RNAcentral describes it as "partial 16S ribosomal RNA". It matches the Rfam family "Bacterial small subunit ribosomal RNA", at positions 30 to 523 of the family's 1533-position model. The record is from RNAcentral.
AUUGAACGCUGGCGGCAUGCCUUACACAUGCAAGUCGAGCGAACCCUUCGGGGUGAGCGGCGGACGGGUGAGUAACGCGUGGGUAACCUGCCCUAUACACACGGAUAACGUACCGAAAGGUACGCUAAUACGGGAUAAAGUUGUUGGAUGGCAUCUUCUAACAAUCAAAGCUCCGGCGGUGUAGGAUGGACCCGCGUCUGAUUAGCUAGUUGGUGAGGUAAUGGCUCACCAAGGCGACGAUCAGUAGCCGACCUGAGAGGGUGAUCGGCCACACUGGAACUGAGACACGGUCCAGACUCCUACGGGAGGCAGCAGUGGGGAAUAUUGCACAAUGGGCGAAAGCCUGAUGCAGCAACGCCGCGUGAGCGAUGAAGGUCUUCGGAUCGUAAAGCUCUGUCCUCAAGGAAGAUAAUGACGGUACUUGAGGAGGAAGCCCCGGCUAACUACGUGCCAGCAGCCGCAGUAA